This 2112-nucleotide ribosomal RNA is filed under the name Vibrio parahaemolyticus. Its description in RNAcentral is "partial 23S ribosomal RNA". It matches the Rfam family "Bacterial large subunit ribosomal RNA", at positions 1 to 2144 of the family's 2925-position model. Lineage: Bacteria; Pseudomonadati; Pseudomonadota; Gammaproteobacteria; Vibrionales; Vibrionaceae. The record is from RNAcentral.
GUUGUAUGGUUAAGUGACUAAGCGUACACGGUGGAUGCCUUGGCAGUCAGAGGCGAUGAAAGACGUAGUAACUUGCGAUAAGCCCAGAUUAGGUAGUAACAACCAUUUGAGUCUGGGAUUUCUGAAUGGGGAAACCCACGUGCAUAAGCACGUAUCCUUACCUGAAUACAUAGGGUAAGGAGGCGAACCGGGGGAACUGAAACAUCUAAGUACCCCGAGGAAAAGAAAUCAACCGAGAUUCCGAAAGUAGCGGCGAGCGAAAUUGGACUAGCCCUUAAGCUUUACACGCGUUAGACGAACGGUCUGGAAAGUCCGACGAUACAGGGUGAUAGUCCCGUAGUUGACGACGUGUGUUCAGUGAAAUCGAGUAGGGCGGGACACGUGAUAUCCUGUCUGAAUAUGGGGGGACCAUCCUCCAAGGCUAAAUACUACUGACUGACCGAUAGUGAACCAGUACCGUGAGGGAAAGGCGAAAAGAACCCCUGUGAGGGGAGUGAAAUAGAACCUGAAACCGUGUACGUACAAGCAGUAGGAGCAGGCUUUGUCCUGUGACUGCGUACCUUUUGUAUAAUGGGUCAGCGACUUAUAUUCAGUGGCAAGGUUAACCAUCUAGGGGAGCCGUAGGGAAACCGAGUCUUAACUGGGCGUUCAGUCUCUGGAUAUAGACCCGAAACCAGGUGAUCUAGCCAUGGGCAGGUUGAAGGUUGAGUAACAUCAACUGGAGGACCGAACCGACUAAUGUUGAAAAAUUAGCGGAUGACUUGUGGCUAGGGGUGAAAGGCCAAUCAAACCUGGAGAUAGCUGGUUCUCCCCGAAAGCUAUUUAGGUAGCGCCUCGGACGAAUACUACUGGGGGUAGAGCACUGUUAAGGCUAGGGGGUCAUCCCGACUUACCAACCCUUUGCAAACUCCGAAUACCAGUAAGUACUAUCCGGGAGACACACGGCGGGUGCUAACGUCCGUCGUGGAGAGGGAAACAACCCAGACCGCCAGCUAAGGUCCCAAAUUACUACUAAGUGGGAAACGAUGUGGGAAGGCUCAGACAGCCAGGAUGUUGGCUUAGAAGCAGCCAUCAUUUAAAGAAAGCGUAAUAGCUCACUGGUCGAGUCGGCCUGCGCGGAAGAUGUAACGGGGCUAAGUAGUAAACCGAAGCUGCGGCAAUAUACUUUUGUAUAUUGGGUAGGGGAGCGUUCUGUAAGCGGUUGAAGGUGUGUGGUAACGCAUGCUGGACGUAUCAGAAGUGCGAAUGCUGACAUGAGUAACGAUAAAGGGGGUGAAAAACCUCCUCGCCGGAAGACCAAGGGUUCCUGUCCAACGUUAAUCGGGGCAGGGUAAGUCGACCCCUAAGGCGAGGCCGAAAGGCGUAGUCGAUGGGAAACGGGUUAAUAUUCCCGUACUUCUUACAAUUGCGAUGGGGGGACGGAGAAGGCUAGGUGGGCCUGGCGACGGUUGUCCAGGUUCAAGUGCGUAGGCUUAAGAGUUAGGUAAAUCCGGCUCUUUUUAAGGCUGAGACACGACGUCGAGCACCUACGGGUGUGAAGUCAUUGAUGCCAUGCUUCCAGGAAAAGCCUCUAAGCUUCAGAUUGUAAGGAAUCGUACCCCAAACCGACACAGGUGGUCGGGUAGAGAAUACCAAGGCGCUUGAGAGAACUCGGGUGAAGGAACUAGGCAAAAUGGUACCGUAACUUCGGGAGAAGGUACGCUCUUGAUGGUGAAGUCCCUCGCGGAUGGAGCUGACGAGAGUCGCAGAUACCAGGUGGCUGCAACUGUUUAUUAAAAACACAGCACUGUGCAAAAUCGUAAGAUGACGUAUACGGUGUGACGCCUGCCCGGUGCCGGAAGGUUAAUUGAUGGGGUUAGACUUCGGUCGAAGCUCUUGAUCGAAGCCCCGGUAAACGGCGGCCGUAACUAUAACGGUCCUAAGGUAGCGAAAUUCCUUGUCGGGUAAGUUCCGACCUGCACGAAUGGCGUAAUGAUGGCCACGCUGUCUCCACCCGAGACUCAGUGAAAUUGAAAUCGCUGUGAAGAUGCAGUGUACCCGCGGCUAGACGGAAAGACCCCGUGAACCUUUACUACAGCUUGGCACUGAACAUUGACCCUACAUGUGUAGGAU